AUGGCGAACUCCGCGGCGCCACCGCCGCUGGCGGGUCGCCUGGUCCUCUCGUCUGCCCUGCUCCUGCUGCUGCUUCUCCUUAGUCUCAGGCAAGCCCAGGGCCGUGCCACGCCCGGAGGCCCUUCGCUGAGGGCUCAAGCCGCGGCGCUUCUCCACUGGAGAUCAUCCGUCAAGUACUCCGUGAAGCACCAGCUGGGAACCUGGAGAGACGACGGCAUGUACCCGUGCAACUGGACCGGCAUCACUUGCGGGUCACGAAGAGGGACCACGGUGAAGGUUAUCAGAGGAAUUUCCCUUGGCGGUGCCGGCAUUGCAGGGCGGCUGGACGCCCUGAGUUUCCACUCACUCCCUUACCUCGUCAACCUCAACCUCAGCAACAACUACCGUCUCUCUGGUGCCAUCCCUUCUGGCAUCGGCUCUCUUUCCAUACUUUCCACCCUCGACUUCUCCAGUGAUCAGCUUGACGGCAACAUACCUCCGUCGAUCUGCAACCUUGGGAGGCUCACGCACAUGGAUUUCUCCAACAACAAUCUCACCGGCCAAAUCCCUCCUGCCUUGGGUAAUCUCUCAAGACUUGCUUUUCUUUCUCUACUUGGGAAUAGCCUCUCAGGUAGCAUUCCAUGGCAGCUCGGACAGCUUGGGGACAUGAGGCAGAUGCAUUUGGGCUGGAAUAUCUUUUCUGGCCAAAUACCUUCCACCCUCGCAAACCUGACGAACCUCAACUUUCUUGGCCUUUCUGCUAAUCGUCUGUCAGGAUCCAUACCUGAAGAGCUAGGACAAGUCCAAACUCUGCAAAAACUAUACUUGCACAACAAUAGCCUGAAUGGCACAAUUCCAUCCUCGCUUGGAAACCUCACGAUGCUCAGGUUCCUGUAUAUAUAUAUGAACCAGCACACUGGCUCGAUCCCGGUAGAGCUUGGGAUGCUCUCGAGCUUGAUUGAGUUGGAUUUGUCAGAGAACCAUUUGACCGGCUCAGUUCCUUCUAGUGUUGCUGGAAAUCUUACUUCAUUAGUUUAUUUUUCUCUUUCGGGCAACAAUAUAACUGGAUCCAUCCCACAUGAGUUUGGAAAUCUUGUGAAUUUGGAAACACUUGAUUUCGCAGUCAAUUUCAUAGUUGGGUCGGUGCCGUCAAGCAUUGGGAACAUGUCUUCACUCACCCGGAUGUACAUUUCUAGCAAUAAUCUCUCUGGUCGAUUGCCGGCCGAGUUUGGAAAUUUGGCAAAGUUGGAAAAACUUGAUUCCUCCGAAAACCAUUUGUCUGGCUCAAUCCCUCAAAGUUUUGGAAAAUUUGCACGCAUGACAGAAAUGCGACUAUACACGAAUCACCUCUCUGGCACUUUGCCGUCAUCUCUCUCCAACCUUACCAGCUUGGUCCUCAUUGACCUAGGUGGCAACCAGCUGACGGGACACUUGCCAAAUUUUUGCCGAAGUAAAAGACUAAAGAUUUUUGAUGUUAUGGAUAACAAUCUGGAUGGUCCCCUCCCAAAAGGCUUGAAGGAUUGCACUUCACUAACAUCCCUUGGACUUGAUAAUAAUCAGAUUGAGGGAGACAUAACUGAAUCAUUUGGGGUGUAUCCUCAUCUCAAUGACAUUAGUUUAUAUUCAAACAGAUUUGUAGGCCGGCUCUCGCCAAAUUGGGGCUCAUGUCAGAACUUAACAAGUAUUGAUUUUACACAUAACAUGAUAGAAGGCAGUAUACCUUCUGAGCUUGGGGAGCUAAAAAAUCUUGGAUGGCUCGGGCUCAGUUUCAAUAGGUUCAAUAGUGAGAUACCACAAGAAAUUGGCAGGUUAAGUAACUUGUAUUGGAUGGAUUUAAGAAACAAUCAACUAUCUGGCCAGAUCCCUAAGCAAAUUGGGCAACUUCGCAAUCUCGAGAACCUUGAUUUCUCAAGCAACUUUUUAUGUGGUACAAUACCAAAGGAGAUCGGAAAUUGUUUGAGACUGCAGUCAUUAAAUAUGAAUAACAACAGUCUUAAUGGAAGUAUUCCUGGUAGUUUGGUUAAUUUAACUUCCCUGCAAAGCAUGCUUGAUCUUAGCAUGAACAGUCUCAGUGGACCACUGCCAUCGGAACUUAACAGACUAGAGAUGUUGAUGUCUGCAAAUUUCUCACACAAUCAAUUCAGUGGUGCCAUCCCUGUAUCGAUUGCGAGCAUGCAAAGCCUAUCAAUAUUUGAUCUGUCAUACAACUUCCUAGAAGGAUCUGUUCCAAAAGGGAUCCACAAUGCAUCAGCUGAAUGGUUUCUCCACAACAAAGGUCUUUGUGGAGACCUUGUUGGCAUGGCUCCUUGCAAUUUACCCAAUGCGGAUCAUACACGAGAGCAUCAAAAGAUUGUACUAUCAGUCAUUCUUUCUAUGUUCGCCGCUACUAUUUCAGUAGCAACAUGUAUAAUUUUCAUAUUUAUUUGCCGCACGAAGGUAUCAUCAAAAACUGAUGAUGUGAGCAAAAGGGAUGUAUUCUCUGUAUGGGGCUUUGAUGGUAGAAUAGUAUUUCAGGAUAUUAUCAAUGCAACCGACAAUUUUGAUGAGAAACAUUGUAUUGGAGAGGGGUCGUACGGUAGUGUUUAUAAGGCAGAACUUCAAGAUGGACAAGUGGUUGCAGUAAAGAAACUCUAUGCAGGCGACGAAGAGGCACAUGAUGAAGAAAGAUUCCAGCAUGAGAUUGAAAUGUUAACAAAAAUCCGCCAACGCAGCAUCGUCAAGUUGUAUGGCUAUUGUACUCAUCCACAGUGCAGGUUCCUUCUAUGCGAGUUCAUAGAGAGAGGAAAUGUAGCUUCUAUCUUGAGCAACGAAGAACUAGCAAUCCAGUUCAACUGGGAAAGGAGAAUAGCUCUAAUAAGAGAUGUGGCUCAAGCCAUCACUUACCUCCAUCAUGAUGUUCACCCACCCAUAAUUCACAGGGACAUCACAAGCAGAAACAUCUUACUAGAUGCUGACUACAAAGCAUUUGUCUCGGAUUUUGGUAUUGCAAGAAUGUUAAAACCCGAUUCAUCGAAUUGGAGCGCACUAGCGGGGACCUAUGGCUACAUUGCACCUGAAUGUUCAUACACUUCUCUAGUCACAGAGAAAUGUGAUGUGAAUAGCUUUGGUGUUGUGGUGCUUGAGGUGUUGAUGGGCAAACAUCCAGGAGACAUGCAAAAUUUUCUUUCUUCACUUGGUGACCAGUUGCAUCUGGAACAAAUUUUGGACAAACAACUUCCACAACCUGAAGCUGAGGAGGCAAAAGACUUGAGACGGUGUAUCUCUGUGGCGUUUGAGUGCCUAACUCCUUCACCCAAAGAAAGGCCAACUAUGCAGAAAGCUUAUCGAGAUCUUUCCAUCUGA
This 3321-nucleotide ribosomal RNA is filed under the name Triticum aestivum (bread wheat). Its description in RNAcentral is "partial small subunit ribosomal RNA". Lineage: Eukaryota; Viridiplantae; Streptophyta; Magnoliopsida; Poales; Poaceae. The record is from RNAcentral.